GACGAACGCUGGCGGCGUGCUUAACACAUGCAAGUCGAACGGAAAGGCCCUGCUUUUGUGGGGUGCUCGAGUGGCGAACGGGUGAGUAACACGUGAGUAACCUGCCCUUGACUUUGGGAUAACUUCAGGAAACUGGGGCUAAUACCGGAUAGGAGCUCCUGCUGCAUGGUGGGGGUUGGAAAGUUUCGGCGGUUGGGGAUGGACUGGCGGCUUAUCAGCUUGUUGGUGGGGUAGUGGCUUACCAAGGCUUUGACGGGUAGCCGGCCUGAGAGGGUGACCGGGCACAUUGGGACUGAGAUACGGCGCAGACGCGUACGGGAGGCAGCAGUGGGGAAUAUUGCACAAUGGGCGGAAGCCUGAGGCAGCAACGCCGCGGUCGGGAUGACGUCCUUCGGGUUGUAAACCGCUUUCGCCUGUUACGAAGCGUGAGUGACGGUAAUGGGUAAAGAAGCACCGGCUAACUACGUG
Molecule: ribosomal RNA, 468 nt
Filed under: uncultured bacterium
Lineage: Bacteria
Description: partial 16S ribosomal RNA
Rfam family: Bacterial small subunit ribosomal RNA
Source: RNAcentral